UUGGAGGGCAAGUCUGGUGCCAGCAGCCGCGGUAAUUCCAGCUCCAAUAGCGUAUAUUAAAGUUGUUGCAGUUAAAAAGCUCGUAGUUGAAUUUCGAGACCGGCUUACUGGUCGUGCUAUUGUACGUACUGGUAUAAUCGGUUUCUCCUUUCUGACGAACUAUAAUGCCAUUAAUUUGGUGUUUUAGGGAAUCAGGACUGUUACUUUGAAAAAAUUAGAGUGUUUAAAGCGGGCUCACGCUUGAAUACAUUAGCAUGGAAUAACGGAAUAGGACGUUUGAUUCUAUUUUGUUGGUUUCUAGGAUCGACGUAAUGAUUAAUAGGGAUAGUUGGGGGCAUUAGUAUUCAAUUGUCAGAGGUGAAAUUCUUGGAUUUAUUGAAGACUAACUACUGCGAAAGCAUUUGCCAAGGAUGUUUUCAUUAAUCAAGAACGAAAGUUAGGGGAUCGAAGACGAUCAGAUACCGUCGUAGUCUUAACCAUAAACUAUGCCGACUAGGGAUCGGAUGAUGUUAAUUUUUUAAUGACUCAUUCGGCGCCUUACGGGAAAC
Molecule: ribosomal RNA, 548 nt
Filed under: uncultured Glomus
Lineage: Eukaryota; Fungi; Glomeromycota; Glomeromycetes; Glomerales; Glomeraceae
Description: SSU rRNA
Rfam family: Eukaryotic small subunit ribosomal RNA
Source: RNAcentral